Molecule: long non-coding RNA, 1138 nt
Filed under: Carassius auratus (goldfish)
Lineage: Eukaryota; Metazoa; Chordata; Actinopteri; Cypriniformes; Cyprinidae
Description: lncRNA (ENSCARG00000039970.1)
Source: RNAcentral
AAACCUGCACACACCUACAAUAACACAUUUAUUUGCAAUGCAAAACAUGCUUUCUUUACUCUCAGCAGCUCAUAGGGUUGUAGGUUAAAGGGAAGAAGCAAUGCAUUAUAAUUUCCAAGUCUGUGGCAACAUAUCUUGGCAGAACGUUUUGUGCCAGGCUGUUUUUGCUCCAGCCUCACCCCCUCUAAUUCACCAACCAGCACUCUGCCAGCUUUAACAUUUUAAGGGGAAUGUGCUGUAAUUUCCUGUGGUUUAUAUGUUUAGAAGAAACAAGAGAUAGUGUUUCAAAAGUGUAGAUUAUUAGCACUAUUUCCAUGUAAUUCUUCCCUGCUACAAAUAACAAAUAACAAUCAUUAUAACAACUAUUAUUAUUAUAUAUGUAUAUAAAUAUAAUGCCUUUACACAGAGGUCAGCCCUUGACGGUGAACUGGAGAAAACACAGGCCCGUUAUGGGACCAGUUGGCUAGGCUUCAGGCUACUGUUAGCAGCCUGGGCACCAGCUUAGUCAAUUUCAUGCUAACAUUGGCAACAACAAGCGAGAGUAUGAAACGCUGCUGGACGUCAAGACCAGACUGGAGCUUGAGAUUGCAGAGUACAGGAGACUGCUGGAUGGAGAUGAGAGGUGAUGCUCAAGAAAAAAAAAUUCUUGAAUAUCUUGUUGGUCUUGUUGAAAUGUAAUAUCUUGUGAUUUAGUGCAUGCUGAAUUUGAAAUUAAAAAGUGUACUUCUUUCGCUUCUUAAAUGCAUUACUGACACCAACUCUCUUUCUCUAUCUGAUUUAACAGGAAGUCCCAAAAAAUUGUCACCAAAACAAUCACAGUGGUGGAAACCGUGGUGGAUGGGAGGAUCAUGGAGAGCAGCGAGAGUGUGGAUGUUAAUGAGCGAGAUAACUAAUCUGCUCAAAAACACACCACAUGUUUUACUCAUGCCUUCUGUAUUGCACACUUACACAGUUAAUGAACUCUCUGUUAAAUGACAAUCUCACGCCUGAUGUACUGCAAGCACAAAUCUCAAAAUGUAUCACCAACCUUUCAGAAACAAUGCUUUGAUAUUGACUUAAAACAGUAAACAGAUUUAACAUGACACAAACCACGGCUUCACUGAUUUUAUUCUCAAAAAAUGGGUCACAGUGGAAGGCC